GUGAGCUUUGACCACCCCAGUACCUCCUGUAACUGUAGUGUUGAUGCAUUACGUCUGAGUUUUAUUCUGUAUGUAUGAGCACAAGAUCAGUGGUCCUAAGCUGGGGUACUAUAAUGCUUGUUUAUAGUAGUUUUACAUCUCAAAUUUUAUUUUAAAUCUUUAAUUUAUUGAAGCUUAAUUUUAAAUAGUGUGAAGUAAUGGUCAAAUUUCCUUAUUCUACUCUUGGACACACAUUUUUUUUUGCAGCAGUAUUUUUCUCAAGAGAUCUUCUUUAGGACAAAUUGACCAUAGUGUGUCAAUUUGUUUAUGUUCCAUUAACUUGUAUUUCUGGUUUUGUAUCAGUAACUUGUUGUUUAUCUUACUAUACUACGCUGUGUAAUAUGAUUUGAUGUCAGGCAUUUUGGUAGUUCUCAUAAUUUUUUGCUCAUGAUUGCUUGACUAUUUGGGAAUUAUGUAUGUUGGCCCAUUUUAGAAUUAUUUCUUCUAUUUUUAUGAAAUACAUAUUUAUAUAUUGAAAUAGAUAUCACUAUAUAUGUAUAUAUAACCUGUGCACUUCUGUAAGUAGUAUGGAUAUUUUAGCCAUUUUAGGUUUUGAUUUCCCUUUAGAGCCUGCUUCAUUUUUUUUUCAGCAAUUUGUACUUUUCUAACACGUAUUUAGUCUUCUAUUAAACUUAUUCCUUAGUAUUGUAUUUCUUCUAAGGCUAUUAAAAAUGGAAAUGUUUUUCUUGAUUUAUUUUUAAAUAUUAAUUUAAAUUAUAAUAAAUGAUAUUGAGUAUUUUAUGUCAAUUUUAAAUUUUGCAUCAAUAAUUAUGUUUAUUCAUUCUAAUUGAAUGUGGAAGAAUCAUUGUGAUUUUCUGUAUAUAAAACUAUAAAAAUCACUUAUCUACUAAUGGAAAUAACUUUACUCUUUUCUUCCAGUUUCAGUGUCUUACAUUUUCUAUUCUCAACUGCUUGCUCUAAGAUUGCAAGCAUUAUGUUGAUUUGAAGCAAUGAAAGGAUUGUGGAAAAAAAUUAAAUUAAAGCUCAUUGUAUAAGACCUAUGUUGAUAUACCUUCCUUUCAUAUCUAAUUUCCAGAGCAUUUCAUCCUAACAGGAUGUUUCAUUUUGUUUGAAACAAUUUUGCAACUACUAUAAUGGUCAAAUAAUUUUUAAAUUAUUUUGUUUGUGUAUGUUGUUAAUCUUAUUGAUUUACAUGGCUAAAAUACCCACAUGCAGUGAUAAAUCCUACGAGAUAUACGAUGGCAGUAAUUUUUAAAAUUUAUUUAUUAAUUUAUUGAUUUAUUUUUGGUACCAGGGAUCAAACUCAAGACCUUGCACUUGCUAGGAAGGCAUUUUUGUUGCUGAGCUAAGUCUCUGACAACAGCAUUUUGAUGUUGAAUUAUUCUGAAAAGUUUUCUAUCUGUUUCCAUAAGGAACAACAAUCUCUUCUUUCUUUCAGUAUUAUCAUCUGAAUUUGUCACCGUAGUAACUCUACAAUUGUAAAAUAUGUAAAGUGAUGGUUGAAGUCCUCAAUUCUUUUGAGGGGGCUGAGAAUGCUGAUUUUAGUUCUUCUUUAAUCUUUGGUAACAUUAAAAUCUUUGGGUCCUGAGCUUUAAUGUUUGAUGAAUAUUUUUAUAACUGAUAAAAUGUUUUCAGUAGUUUUUUGUCCAUUCAGAUAUUCUGCUUCUUCUUUAUUUAGGGUUGGUAAACAGAAUGUUUUUAGAAUUUAAAUAUUUCUUCAAGCUUAUCUCUCUUGUACAUUGAGAGAGCUCAAGAUAUAGGCCUCUACAGAUACUUUUUAAAAGAUUUCUGAUGUUGUUCAUAAUUUUUCUUUUUGACUAAGUUUUGACUCCAUUAAUUAGUUUUACCUUGGAAUAAUUGUCAGUUUCAUUGAAAUUUUAAAGAAAUUUUAUUUCAUUGUUGAUUCCUCAUAUUGUUCUGGUCUCUUUAUUGCACCAUUGAACUUGAUUAUUCCUUCCUUCCAAAUUUGAGCACAAUUUGAGAAGCUAUUGCAAGUUCUUUAAUGGAAAAUUUACCUGAGCUCUUUAUAUUUUUCAUGUGGGAAUUCAUCAUAUAAAUGAUCCUAAUGAAACUACAUUUGCUGUAUAUGUUUUAAUAUGAUGCUUUUAGCUUCUUGGCUUUUUUUUUUUUUUCUUUUCCUGAAGUGAUCUCGACUUUCACUCUGUGUUCUUCUAUUUAAAUACAGACACAUUUUUCUCCUUUUUGAAUGAUAUUUACGUUACAUUUAUUUUUCAAUCUCUCCACUUUCAUUCAAUGUGUAUUAUUACAAACGAUGCAUAGAAUGCCACUGAUAUUCUGUAAAAGUGAUGGGUAAGAUUAUAGGUAAGGGAUUUAUUUUUCUUCUGAUACAGACAUUCACUUUACAUCUAGAUCUGGAAGGAAAACAGCUUCUUUUUCUUAGAGUUCCUCUUCAAUGCUAUGAGCAGAGACUGCUGCUGAAGAUGUAAUUUAAGAUGAUGCAUAAGCAUAGGUGGGCAUAUGGUGAAUGUAGGAAGCGAAGCCUUGCAGAGAACCAUGGCAGGGGCAUGGAGCUCACAGGCUGAUUGGCAAAUCCAGAAGUGCUGCCGUGUAGAGUGUGAUGGCAAAGAAGGAUGCAGCGUUUCAGGUCAUGCAAUAUCUUAGGGAAUUUGCAGCUGGACCAAAUCACGUACGAUUACAUUGAACUUGAAAAAAAAAGGUGAAACAUCUGUGCUCUGUCAUAUAUACAUGGAAUUAAAUAGUUUGUUUCAUAACUUAAGCACCACACCCUCAUAUGCAAGGAUAAUCAUGUUUUCUUUUGCAUUUGCCUUUUGUAGUGAAUGAAUUUCUACCAAAAUUCCAUUUGUUUGUCUUGCACUUCACUAAUCAAUUCUUUAAAUAUUUUACCUCUACUUCUCCUAGUAUUUUCCCUGUCCUCUAAAUGCUUUCUUUGAUUUAAAUUACUAUACCUAUUUAGAAAUCACUUAAAUCUGAUUGAUUCUGACCUAUUUCUGUUUAUGAUAAGCCAAACUCUUAGCAGUAAUGCUAAUUUUAAUAGUUUGUGUCUCAGUUUUAUUAUCUGUAAAGCAUGUCUAGAAUCAUCUUUUUUUCAGUAAUGUGAAACAUUACUGAAACUAACAAAUUAAACAGUCUUAUGGAGUGUUAUCUAUCUUAAACUUUAUGUUUUCUAUGUAGUUCAAGAUAUUAUCAGAAAAAUAGGCCUUCAUCACAGACAUAAAACCUUAUCAGCAUUUGUUAUUAGUUGAUUUGUUGAUGAGAGACAUCUUUUGGGGGGUAAAAUGGAAUCUCAUUGUUUUACUUUGCAUUUCUCUAGUGAUGAAUGAUGUUGAACAUUUUUUCAUAUAGGUGUUUUCCAUUUGUAUUUCUUAAUCUGAGAAGUCAUUUUUGGAUUGAAUCUUUGAAUUUUGAGGGCCCAAUUUUUAAAAAUUCUUUAUAUAUUCUAUAAAGAAGUCCUUUAUCUGAAGGACAGUUAGUGAAUUUUUUUUCCUAAUUAGUGGGUUUUCUUUCACACUGUUGGUAAUUGAGAUGCAAAAACUUUUAGUAUGAUGAGAUCUCAGUUGUUGAUCCUUUGAAGUUUUUCCCGGGUAAUUUGAUUUUUGUUCAUGAGUGUCUGUAUACCAAUAUUACUUCAAGAUUUAUAUCUACUUUGUCUUCCAGUAGAUUUAGCAAUCCUGUUUUAAUAUUUAUAUCUUUGAUCCAUUUUUACUUUAGUUAAAAGCAUGGUGCUAGAAAUUGGUCUAUAUCUGGUAUACUACUUUUUAUUACUUUUAAAAUAAAAAUUAAAACUUUAUCAGGCACUAUGUUGACAAUAUGCAGUUGCAUGAUAAUUAACUUCAUAUAUUUAAGUGCUUUCUUCUAAUGUAAAUAUUCAAAUGAUCUUCAUUUAUCUUUUCAUUUGUCUAUUUCUCCCAUUUAGUUAUAGAAGACUGUUUUUCUAGAUAUUGUGUUCUUUUAACAGUCAUCAGGGAGCUUUUGAGUGUGUGUGUGUGUGUGUGCACGCACACGUGUGUGCACCUAGGUGACCAUUAGGUAAAGCAAUCAGUUACAAGAAAGGCACAUGACUUUCCUUGGUUCUUGUCAAUGACUGUUGAUUAUUUGACACUUACCUACAGAAAAUAAGCAAGAUAAACAGUGUUUAAUUUUGCAACUGUAUUAUAUGGGAUGAGAAAAAACUUCUAUAGGUAAGAUAGCAUAGAGUCCAAAAGCAGAAGUAUUAGAUACUAGAUGAGAGAGUUAUCCCAGAAAAUAUGGCUUCAUUAAAAUAAAAUGUCCAAGUGAAUAUUUUCUGCUUGGUAGGUCAGGAUAGUUCUGUACUCUAGCAUGAAGAGCAGUGGAUCAGGUGUACAGGUGAGCUACAGUUUCAUCAUUUGUCAGUCUUCUUAAGGAGAUGAUACUGAGGUACAAUUAUAGGUUUUAGAACCAUUGAUAAAGGUAAUUGAAAGUUUAAAAUAGUACUCUACUUUCUAAUGUAAAAUCACUGUACAAAAGUAAAGUUAAUGAACAAUGAUGAAGUAGAUGUUGGAAAUACUGCAAAGGUUGAUGUCAAAGAUCAUGAAUAACUAAAACAAUAUUUUUGAAGAAAAUCCUAAAAAUAUUUGAGGACUUUGAAAAUUUGAUGCUGAGUAGAAAGGAGACUGUUUGAAGAGCAUUGUCAUUAAUCCCUGAGUAGAGAUCACUGCAAUUUGGUAUGAAAAUUACAAAGGCAGGAAAUAGGAUGACACGAAUGCUGCACAACUGAGAAUCUAGAAAUGAUAUUCAUGCAACAAAGAGAAUACAAGGAACUCUAAUGGCUUUAAAGUUUGCUGAUUUUACCAGCCUAUCAUUAGCUAACUCCAUCUAUUUAAGAUUUUGCUAAAGUGUCCACAACUUCAGUAUUUGAAGAGACAUCUUUACUAUGACAGCCUAUCAUUCAAAUUGUAGCUUAAUGCUUUAAAAUAAUUGCUUGAUUAUAAGCCUAGCACUCAAGCAGAAAAACCCAAAAUGAGAUCUCAAAAGUAUGUGCAAUACUCUUUUCUGUAAAAAUAGUGUUUGUCUUUAUUGUACUUUGGAAUCAGGCAGUUUGGAGAUGUAGUUCUUAAGAAAGAAAUUAUCGUACCCACACACAUCAAAAUAACUUACUAUGACUAGAAGCUGAAUGUGCUGUUUGUAUUUUUCAGCUUCCUUGCUCUGAAUUCAGUUAAUGAAGGCUUUCUGUCUCUUUAAUGACUGAUUCAAUUUGUUUGUUGAAAUAUGAGAGAUACAAGAAAACUAUGUCUAAUGUGUAGCACAUUACUUGUAUUACUCUUAAUCUCAUGUUCAGUGACAAAGGUCAGUGAAAAGUGAGAAGCCAUCAGACAUUGACCUGUGACCAUACUGAUUUACAGUUGAUGGAUUUGUGCUCACCCAGGCUCUUACAAACCCAGUGGACCAGAGAAGCUUCAAAGAUUAAGGAACAGGCUUAGUUUUCAGAUAGCUGGAUGUCCAGUUCUCAUAAGCUGGACUUUUGCCCCUUACUCCAAUCCAACAAAGCACAACAAACUCAUCAGAAAGCAAAUAUUAAACAGUUGCUUUCAAAACAUGGUAAAAUUAUAACACUGAAAGCCAAUUGAUAUGAUCACCUUUUAAACUCAGUAGGUAAAUCCAUUUUCAGUGUUAACAAAUACAUUGGAAAGAUUUGUGUUUUCAACAAUAUGUAUGUUCAAGAAGAGAUAAACAUUCUUUUCAUAUAGUCAUUUUCCGUAUCAUACAGAUACAUACAUGAAUUUCAAAUUAUCUUCAUACUAAUUGAUAUAUUUUAUCUCCUCAGUUACACAUCAAAUACUGAAAUGAAAAUUGUGGGUAGAAAUGUACCUAAUUUUAUAAGGAGAAAACAAGUUCAAUGAUAUAUUUUCUGAAGCAAAGAAAAACUGAUUGAAAUAUGAGUGUUUGGCUUUAAUUAUUGUUUUGUAAUGAUAAAUAGUCCCUGUCUUUAUUGCUGAGGACCAAUUUAAUGCAAUAUAAGACGAUAAUAAUUAGCAUUAACAAUUUGGCAUAAAAACACAUUGAGAGUGUUCUAGGUCUAUGAGACUUCUGGUGAGAGCUGUCAUUGGUUUAGGAGAGAUUAAUCUUUGAGCUGAGGCUGGCAAACAGACAGUGAAUUCUGGUGCAAAUCCAAAGUAAGAUAAAACAGCAGUUGAGGACUUUAACUCCUGCAAAUUCUGUCUAGCUCAGUAAUUAUACUCAGCAGAAAAUGAGGUUGCCAGUUACCCCUGAUGGGUUCCUGUGUGAUUUUCCAAAACUUCCUGUUCCUCAAUUCUUGAAUCUUGCCUGCAUCAGCAAUUCACCUCAUACUUUAUGGCCUUAGUCUGUCACAGAUCUUCUUGCACCCUGGAGGGCUUGGUUACUGCAAUGUAUAUAUUUUGUCUGUAUUUUAUUCUGUCAUCAUACCUCUGAGCAGGCGACCAGUGGUUCUAGGCAUGGGUGCCAAUAAAUGGCGCCAUAUGUGUGGCACUAUAGCCUGAUUGCAGAUGACCACCUGAGACACCACUGGAGACCAGAGAAGAGGACAGGACUUCAUAUGAUGAAUAAUAGGACCACCUAAAGUGUGAGGUAGCUGAUUACUUGAUGUGAAAAGGUUUUCAACUGGGAUUAAGAAUGUGACAAGACGUACCAGCUGAGAGGGGAAGAGAACAAGAAGUCACCAAGAAGCAAACUAGGGCAACAGCCAGACCGCAGCACCUCUCCAUGAGCAGGCUGGGCAACAAGAAGAGCCAACCCUUCUCUGUCCCAUCGAGAGACUGGUGAUCUGGAGAAACACAGGCUGUGAUGACCAUGAGUAUUGAGGUGUAAUGCAAUCUGAUGCUUGUGGUGUUUGGUGUUUCACUGACUUUACAUAUCUAGGGCUGGUGGUGUGACCAUCUAUUUGGAGGAUAACCAUAUGCAGUGUGGUAUCUGGUGGGAUCUCCUUCUGAGGGUAGUGGCCAUUGUUCAUUCCCUAUCAUCUUGUUUUGAAGUGCUGUAUAAUUUUCAUUGUUUUCUUGUUUUAAGCUUUAUUUGGUUUUGCUUUGUUUGAUUUUAUUACAUCUGAUGGCAUGGGCAACUAUUUCUAAGCUAGCAAAAUAUAUUAUGAUAGCAUUUUGGACUUAGUUUUAAUAUUGUCUUGUUAUGAAGUCCUUUGUAGCAUUCAUUGUUUUGCUUUAUUGGUUCUACUCUGUACUGUUUUGUUUGUUUUUCCUAUGUCUGAAGGUAUGGGCAACUAUUCUGAAGACAACAGGAGUCAUUAUUGUAACCAUUAUUGAUUUCCUAUUGUUUUGAAGUCCUGUGUCACUUCCACUAUUUGUUUUGAUUGGCUUUAUCCUAUUUUAUUUUGCUUAGUUUUAUUCUCUUUAAAGUAAAAAAAAAUCUAAAAAAAAAGAGAAAAAUGUUAUGGUCAUUUAAGCAAUAACAAUAUUCAAUAUUUGUGAAUAACAUUAACUGCUUUUAGUAAAUUACAGAUAGGUUAGAACUCUCUCACACUAACAAAGGGAUAAUAACCUUUUAAAAAUGAAAAGUCAAAACUUUCAUUUUGAUUUAUUGUGAAAAGUCUCAUUAUCAUGAGAACAAUCCAAAUUAUGAUUUAAAAACAUGUUAUUUCAAAUGUACUUUAAACUACUGCAGUUUAAUAAGAAAAAACGUAUCCAAACAAAGAAGAGCUAGGGAGAGGUAGGUUAUCAGUUAUCAAUCUUUCUAUGCAACUAAUGAUGCUUUGGAAUGUAGCAAAUAGAAAAGAAUGGGCAGGUAGAGUCUAACUGAGAGUAAAAUCGACUCUAUUGCAUAACAAUGAUGUAUGAUUUGUUUAAAUAUGUAGAACAAAGUUCACACUGCUACGGAAAGCAGACCAAACAUGGGAAGAAAUGGCACUGAGAAGGUUUAGGAGUCUGUUUUUUACACCAGUGGACUCUGACUAAAAUCUCUCCCAAAGACCUAGUGCCCACUUUGUCUGAGUUUUAGGGCUUUCGAAGGAAAAGGAAGAGGAGAGGUACAUAGACCGAUCAUAGAAGAUUUGGCACAUUUGAUCAGAGGGUUGGUGGCAUCAUGGGAUGCUGAAGGAGUCUGAACAUCUCCUUAUAGGCUAACAGUUACACAAAGGCAAUAAAAACAAGGUUUACACAAAGGGAGGAGUGUGCUGAAAUCUGGCUUGCCUGGACCUGACCACUGGAUUUGGAUGGGGUUCGUGGCGGGCUUCCUUAGCAGGUCUUUGUCUAAAAUUUUAAUUCCCUUUUAUAACCAAGCAAAUUAUAUCAUAAACAUAAAACCACGCUCAUUAUAGUUUAUGGCAGUUUGUUACUGGACUAGGUCAAAAGGCUUUCUUCCUCUUAUUCUUGACAUUACAAUUUCUUAUCUAAAUAAGAAACUGUAUGUCAUAGGAAAGACAUAUACUAGAAGGAUUUUUGAUUUUUUACCUGGCAAAAGUAAUAUGUUUUAUUGGAUUACCUUACAUUUCUGUUUGAUUUUUGCUUGUUUUGUGUUAGAGAGCAAGGCAAUCCAUUCCGCCUUACCUUUUCUCAAGGCCUCAUUUUGUAUUGUGCCUAUUGACAGCAAAGUCUCCAGACAUUCUAAAUCUCCCCUAGUUUGGUGCAAGGUAGGUCAAUGAAUUUCUCCCACUCUUUCCAAUUGUUCUUCCCUGCUCCGUCCUCUCCUCAUGGAGGAAAUAGUCCAGCCAAAUUAUCUGCCACUCUCACCAUCACCAGUGCCUGUUCUGCUUUCCACAACGCUCUCUUCUCUCCUGCUCCAAAUCUUGCUCAAAGCGUUUCCCUGCUUACCCAGAUCCCAAUCCAGGUUUGGGCUAGCUCUUCCUCAGCCCUGGAUCUCAUUCAAAUAUCUCUCACCAGUCCACUAAAACCACAUCAACCCUUUUCCUCUCAGCACACAUCCACUAGCAUGCUCUGAAGGGACUAAAACAAAUUAUUUCUCACCUGCUACAACACGAUUUGUUGGUCCCUAUCAACUCUCCAUACAACACUCCCAUUCUUCUAGCUCAAAAGACAGAUAGUCCAUGCUGAUUGGCCCAGAAUCUCUGCGCUGUCAAGCAAACGUCCCCUCCUAUUCAUUCUGUAGUGCCCAACACACACACGCUUUUAUCUUCUAUUUCCCCUUCUACUAGUCAGUCCCAGAUUUGAAGGAUGCUUCCUUCACUAUAUCCAUUGCCACAGCCUGUCUUCACUUUUACCUGGACACAUCCUGAGAGCUGACCUGGGCUUUCUACCCUCAAGAAGUGAAACAGCCUUCAUUCUUCUGACCAGUGUCUAGUCUAUGAUUUGUCCUUCUCCCACUUGUUCAGUUUUCACCUCAUACCAUAUGUAGAUGGCCACCUCCUCCGUAGGCACACUUAUAAAUCAUCCAGACCCUCCUUCUCUUACAACACUGAGAUAAAGAGCUCUUGUGUGUCUCCUUCCUGUGUUACAUAUAACUACAUGGAUAUCGUAAUAUCGUAAGAAUGAGUAACAUAAGCAGUCCUUGUGUAAAUUUUUAGUUUGAAAUCAAGAUACAAAACUGGAAGAAACCACAUAAUUUCUAAGGUUUCCAUAGAUUAAAUUUCAAAUUAAAUGAAUAACUUUUAUUCUUCCCAUCUUCCCUUACAGUAUGAGCAACAGCAAGAGAACACAAACAUUAAUAUAAUGAUUUAAAACAUUCACAUAAUUUGAAACGAAAUACAAAAUUAUUUUUAAUAAUUUGUUUAAAGAUAUAAAAACUCUACAAAUUAUUAAAAAUCAAAAGAACAUGAAAAGUCACUAAGAACUAAAUAAGACUGUAUAAGUGAAAAAUACAACAAAUUGAAAAACUCAAUAGAGAGUAUGUUAAACUCUGUUAUAAAAUGGGCUCUAGAAAAAAUCUGACAUUGUUUACAACUUAGUUUUUCUAGAAAAAUCUUUAGGAAAUGUGAUGGGAUAGAUAAAUGAGAUGGAGUAUAGCUCUAAUUAAUUCUGCAUAUCCUUCUGGGUUUGACUUUUCAUUCAAUUUUUCCACAGCUACUGACUUACCCCUUUUCAUAAAAUCAUAAUUAAGCUCAAUUUUAUAUUCUUUUCACCCAGAGUACCAAUUAUUUUUCAUUAUUAAUAAUUUGUAACUCAUGUAAAAUUCCAAGUUAAUUAUAGAACUGUUUUAUGUACCUGAAAUUUUUACUAAUGCAACAACCUCCUAUUCUUCUCAUCUCUCUAUGUUAACUAGAUUCUAUGCUGAGAGACUGCAAAAGCAUAAACAAACAUAGAAUUAAUAUAACUUAUAGAAUCUUGGUAUUUUUCCAAGAAGAUAGUUAUUGAUUACAAAGGUGAAAUAGAGAACUUUCCAUUGUCUUUAUAUUUUAAGUGACCAAAAUUAAUGUUUCCAAUAACAAUCUAUCUACAUGUGUUUCCUGAUGUAUUUUCUGGAGAAAGAAAAAGUUCACAUCUGUAAGUAUUUUUUACCAAAAAUGCAUAACCUCACUCUAAUCAUGAGAUACUAUGAGAAAAAAAUUUAAUUGAUUUUCUAAAAAUCAUAAGACCUAUGCUCUUCAUAAAGCGAAAGACAAAUGCAGACAGUGGGAACUGUCACAAGUUGGAAGGAGGUAAGAAAAGGUGCUAAUAAUAGCAGAGGGGUGGGGGCUGGGGAUUUAGCUCAGCGGCAUAAAUGCCUGCCUUGUAAGCAGGCAGUCGUGAGUUAAAUCCCUGGUGCCGAUAAAAAGGAAAAAGGCCAACAAUAAUAAUAAUAAUACAGGGGGUGACUAGAGGGGUAGUAUAAAAGGCACCACAGGGUGAUUAUCAAAAUGCUAAUGAGAUUUCCUAAUUUGAUAGGCUUAUUAUUCUUAUAUAAAAUACCAAUAUCCCCUGAGUCAAUUUAAAAUUUUUCAUUGUCAUAACUGCAUUUAUUAAUUGAAAUUUAGGGAAUACUUUUUAAUUCAAUAUUUACUUUUCAUUAUAAAUUCAUACAAUUUAUGUAGCACUACAUAUUGUUUCUAUAUUUUUAUUUUGUAAUUUUCAGAUCAAAUUAUCUGAAAUUUUUAAAGAAACUUUUUCCACAUUGUCUCCUCUGCUUUAUUUUGUCUUGCUAUCGUUUUUUAAACAGCUGCUCAUGCCAUCAGAUUUAACAUAAUCAAACAAAACAAAAAACAAUAAAUCUCAGCCCAACAAACAAUGAAAAUGAUAUGAUUUCCAGGUGGGCCUGCUUCCUGAUGAGGCCUUGUUCUUUCCCGCUGCAGUCCAUCAAUGGCUCUGACUCUCACUGAGAGGCUUAGGUCUAUUAGGUCUAUAGGUCUCCACUCCAGCAGGGGCCUGCGCAUAGCACUGGUGCCCAGGAAGGGUCACUUUCUGGUGGGGCUUGGUUCCCUAACCUCAUGAUCUACAAGUGGUGCUGAUUCCACUUUUUUUUUUUUUUUUUUUUUUUUUUUUUUGUACCGGUACUAGGGAUCGAACUCACGACCACGCGCUUGCAAGGCAGGCGCUUAUGCUGCUGAGCUAAAUCCACAGUGCUUACUGCCUCCACUUUUAAUAUUGCUUUGUCAUUUUUUAUUGCUUUUAUUUUCUGCCAUCAUAAGACCUGAUCCAAACAUCAAAUAAAGGAAAACUUCUAGUUUUAAUUUCUAAGUUCAGUAAUAUAGCUGAAUACAAAGUCAGCACAAAAAUAUAUAGCAUUUCUGUAAACAAAUAACAAAUGCACUGAGAGAAAAAAUCAGAAAACUGCCAUUUACAAUAACAUAAAAGAAUUAUAAACUUAAGAAUCAAUCUAACAAAGGAAAUAAAAGAUUUCUAUGUUGAAAAUUACACUACUCUGAAAAACGACAUUGAAGAGGGUAUCAGAAAAAGAGGAGAUAUCACUUGUUCUUGGAUAGGAAGAACCAAAAUUGUGAAAACGUUCAUAUUCUCUAAAUAUUUAAAUCAAUGAAAAAAACACCACUACCAUACCUCACAGGAUUAGAAAAAACAAUCCUAUAAUUUAUUUGGACCUAAAAGAAACAUAAUAGGAAAAUCAACUGUUACAAACUAAAGCAAAUCAGAAGUCAUCACAGUCCCUGUCUUUAAAUUACAUUUCAGUGCUACUAUGUUAAAAAAAACUGUGGUACUGAAGGAAAACAGCAACAACAACAACAACAACAAAAAAAAAAAAAAAACAGACAAACACACUUACAAACACACUCAAUCAGUUGAUUUUUGACAAAUACGCAAAUCAUGUCACUAGAAUGGAAGCCUCAUUAGUAUAUGAUGCUGGAAAAACUGGAUUUCCACAUACUUAAGAUUAAGACUAAAUCCCUGUCUAGCACCUUCCACUAAACUAAAAACAAAAUGAAUCAAAGAUCUGAAUAUUGAAACAGGAAUACUAAAUCUGCUGGAAAACUGAAUAGGUAGGACUCUGGACAACGUGGUAGAAGGCUAAGAUUUUAUGAACAAAACUUCGGUCUCUCUCUGUAGUGUUUGAAACUGAAAUUGUAAAUAAAAAUGAAAAUAUAUAAUAGAUACUGUGAAAUAAGGAGAAACUGUUCAAAAGGAAAUGAUAACUAUGGAUGAAGGAGAGUGAAAGAAAAAAAAGGGAAGGAAAAAAAUAGAAAAGAAGGAUAAAACGAAAACAGAACUUUGUGAAUGGAGAGGAAAACAGUUUGAAAGGAAGGGGAUGGAGGGGAAAAAAAGGAAUCAAAACAUAUGUAAAAACACAAAUACUGUGUAAUGCAUGGGAUCAUUAUGUGCACCUAAAUUGUACCAAUAAAUUUCUCAAGAUUCAAGUUGUUAAAAAGAAAAAUCUUGUGUACUUACCAUUAAAACAAAUAGAAUUACUUUGUUGGUGAUUAAAAUCAUAAAUGACAGAAAUUAA
This is a long non-coding RNA of Cavia porcellus (domestic guinea pig), 12753 nucleotides long. RefSeq lists it as uncharacterized. The record is from RefSeq and is a predicted model, not a curated record. The transcript has 2 exons. Lineage: Eukaryota; Metazoa; Chordata; Mammalia; Rodentia; Caviidae.